GCCAUGUCCCCUGUGUGAGCUGACAGAAGCUGAGCCCAGGAGCAGAAAGCAGGCGCUUGUCCUUAGCUCUGAAGCAUUUUGCAGCAGAGCCCUGAACUGCCCUCCCUGAAACUUGUUCAUCAAGAGCUCACUUCUUCCAACAGUACGUCUGGAGAGAUUCUUACAUACAAUGUUACAGUCAAGCAAGAAGAAAUGCAAGAGAAUUGAGUGUAAGGUAUUCAUGCUUCUUGAUAUACAAAGAGAAAAAUAUGGUUCCUGCGCUGAGGAGGCUUGUCUGUUAUCAAAAAGAACUUUUCUGCAACUCCUCUAUCCAUACCUGCAACUUCCCAGUUUGUCCUAUGGUUAACCUCUGUGACUGUGACAAAAAAAGGAGAUACCAGUGGUGUAUAUU
Molecule: long non-coding RNA, 391 nt
Organism: Mauremys mutica (yellowpond turtle)
Lineage: Eukaryota; Metazoa; Chordata; Testudines; Geoemydidae
Exons: 5
Source: RefSeq, a predicted model, not a curated record